Molecule: long non-coding RNA, 544 nt
Filed under: Equus caballus (horse)
Lineage: Eukaryota; Metazoa; Chordata; Mammalia; Perissodactyla; Equidae
Description: lncRNA (ENSECAG00000030623.3)
Source: RNAcentral
GGGAGGUACUGGGUUACAAGAAGGGAACAGGUGUGAGGGGUGACAACAUACUCAUUCAGCUUUGGACUCGUGCCUGUGGGGGUCCUGUAGGAGAUCUUGCGGACCUGUGCAGUGGGCCGUCGGAAAGGCAAGCCUGACCCUUUCAAGAGAGGUCAGGCCUGGAGACCAAGGGCACUGAAAGAGAACACAGGGCUGAUUCCUUGACCUUUUGCAGUUCAUAGUCUAGUGAGGAAUACGAAUAAUUACAAAGGAAAGACUCUUUUACAGCCCUCAGCACUGUUAUUGCGUGAACUGGCUCAGCAUGGCCGGCCCAGUGAAGGACGCCAGUGGUAGUAACCGGGGAAGAGGGAUCCCCUGGCUCUUCUUACCAAACUUCUUCGAUCGUUUGGAGUGGUUUGGCCAUCAGUUAGUCAGGAAGAGGCCAGAAGGACACGUGCUGAUAAUGCUUCAAGAAAGUUAAACUUUAGGAAAAACUCGACCGAAGUAAAAAUAGCUAUGUAGUCAGUGACCAAAGCUACUUGGAUGGUCCUGUUGAUUGCUCUUG